This 803-nucleotide ribosomal RNA is filed under the name uncultured Flavobacterium sp. RNAcentral describes it as "bacterial SSU rRNA". It matches the Rfam family "Bacterial small subunit ribosomal RNA", at positions 57 to 862 of the family's 1533-position model. The record is from RNAcentral. Lineage: Bacteria; Pseudomonadati; Bacteroidota; Flavobacteriia; Flavobacteriales; Flavobacteriaceae.
GCAAGUCGAGGGGUAGAGGAAGCUUGCUUCCUUGAGACCGGCGCACGGGUGCGUAACGCGUAUGCAAUCUACCUUGUACAGAGGGAUAGCCCAGAGAAAUUUGGAUUAAUACCUCAUGGUAUUAUAGAAUGGCAUCAUUUUAUAAUUAAAGUUCCAACGGUACAAGAUGAGCAUGCGUCCCAUUAGUUAGUUGGUAAGGUAACGGCUUACCAAGACAAUGAUGGGUAGGGGUCCUGAGAGGGAGAUCCCCCACACUGGUACUGAGACACGGACCAGACUCCUACGGGAGGCAGCAGUGAGGAAUAUUGGACAAUGGGCGCAAGCCUGAUCCAGCCAUGCCGCGUGCAGGAAGACGGCCCUAUGGGUUGUAAACUGCUUUUAUACAGGAAGAAACACCGCUACGUGUAGCGGCUUGACGGUACUGUAGGAAUAAGGAUCGGCUAACUCCGUGCCAGCAGCCGCGGUAAUACGGAGGAUCCAAGCGUUAUCCGGAAUCAUUGGGUUUAAAGGGUCCGUAGGCGGCCUUAUAAGUCAGUGGUGAAAUCUCCUAGCUCAACUAGGAAACUGCCAUUGAUACUGUAGGGCUUGAAUUAUUAGGAAGUAACUAGAAUAUGUAGUGUAGCGGUGAAAUGCUUAGAUAUUACAUGGAAUACCAAUUGCGAAGGCAGGUUACUACUAAUCAAUUGACGCUGAUGGACGAAAGCGUGGGUAGCGAACAGGAUUAGAUACCCUGGUAGUCCACGCCGUAAACGAUGGAUACUAGCUGUUCGGAUUUCGGUCUGAGUGGCUAAGCGAAAGUGAUA